UUGUUUGAACCGCAUGGUUCAGACAUAAAAGGUGGCUUCGGCUACCACUUACAGAUGGACCCGCGGCGCAUUAGCUAGUUGGUGAGGUAACGGCUCACCAAGGCAACGAUGNGUAGCCGACCUGAGAGGGUGAUCGGCCACACUGGGACUGAGACACGGCCCAGACUCCUACGGGAGGCAGCAGUAGGGAAUNUUCCGCAAUGGACGAAAGUCUGACGGAGCAACGCCGCGUGAGUGAUGAAGGUUUUCGGAUCGUAAAGCUCUGUUGUUAGGGAAGAACAAGUGCCGUUCAAAUAGGGCGGCACCUUGACGGUACCUAACCAGAAAGCCACGGCUAACUACGUGCCAGCAGCCGCGGUAAUACGUAGGUGGCAAGCGUUGUCCGGAAUUAUUGGGCGUAAAGGGCUCGCAGGCGGUUUCUUAAGUCUGAUGUGAAAGCCCCCGGCUCAACCGGGGAGGGUCAUUGGAAACUGGGGAACUUGAGUGCAGAAGAGGAGAGUGGAAUUCCACGUGUAGCGGUGAAAUGCGUAGAGAUGUGGAGGAACACCAGUGGCGAAGGCGACUCUCUGGUCUGUAACUGACGCUGAGGAGCGAAAGCGUGGGGAGCGAACAGGAUUAGAUACCCUGGUAGUCCACGCCGUAAACGAUGAGUGCUAAGUGUUAGGGGGUUUCCGCCCCUUAGUGCUGCAGCUAACGCAUUAAGCACUCCGCCUGGGGAGUACGGUCGCAAGACUGAAACUCAAAGGAAUUGACGGGGGCCCGCACAAGCGGUGGAGCAUGUGGUUUAAUUCGAAGCAACGCGAAGAACCUUACCAGGUCUUGACAUCCUCUGACAAUCCUAGAGAUAGGACGUCCCCUUCGGGGGCAGAGUGACAGGUGGUGCAUGGUUGUCGUCAGCUCGUGUCGUGAGAUGUUGGGUUAAGUCCCGCAACGAGCGCAACCCUUGAUCUUAGUUGCCAGCAUUCAGUUGGGCACUCUAAGGUGACUGCCGGUGACAAACCGGAGGAAGGUGGGGAUGACGUCAAAUCAUCAUGCCCCUUAUGACCUGGGCUACACACGUGCUACAAUGGACAGAACAAAGGGCAGCGAAACCGCGAGGUUAAGCCAAUCCCACAAAUCUGUUCUCAGUUCGGAUCGCAGUCUGCAACUCGACUGCGUGAAGCUGGAGUCGCUAGUAAUCGCGGAUCAGCAUGCGCGGUGAAUACGUUCCCGG
This 1213-nucleotide ribosomal RNA is filed under the name Bacillus velezensis. Its description in RNAcentral is "bacterial SSU rRNA". It matches the Rfam family "Bacterial small subunit ribosomal RNA", at positions 173 to 1377 of the family's 1533-position model. The record is from RNAcentral. Lineage: Bacteria; Bacillati; Bacillota; Bacilli; Caryophanales; Bacillaceae.